RNAcentral lists this long non-coding RNA (289 nucleotides) under Elaeis guineensis (African oil palm). RNAcentral's name for it is "long non-coding RNA (EGUI_LNC029781)". The record is from RNAcentral. Lineage: Eukaryota; Viridiplantae; Streptophyta; Magnoliopsida; Arecales; Arecaceae.
CCAUGCAAGACUUUCAAAUCGAAUAGUUGGUUCACUUUAGUUGGAUUAUAGUGCUCGACGAAGAUUGAUCCUCCAUCUAUUAGUGUCUUAACUCCUUCGGUACUCUGAAUUUGGUAGGAUUUGACUUGGAUACCACUUACUAGAUUUCGAGAGCUGAAAGAUAAUAGAUAAAGCGAAAGUAAAAAAUCAUGCUAAUAAUAAUACCAAAAGUACAGAGAAAUCAUAACAAUCAUAAAAAUAUUAGAAUUUAACAUGAUUCGAUCGAGAUCUACAUCUACACAGGGACCAA